CUAUUAUGUUGGUGCAAAAGUAAUUGUGGUUUUUGCCAUUACCUUUAAUGGUGCCAUAAUGGCAAAAACCUCAAUUACUUUUGCACCAACCUAAUA
MicroRNA precursor from Chlorocebus sabaeus (green monkey), 96 nucleotides. Lineage: Eukaryota; Metazoa; Chordata; Mammalia; Primates; Cercopithecidae. The record is from Ensembl.